CCUUCCCCACCGCCCCUCGCAGUUUGUUUACAAGUAUCAAAGUUGUAAUUGAGGAGCUGCCAAGGCACAUCUGGAUAUUUUUCUUCUUCUUCUUCUUCUUUGUGUUAGGGACUGAUGUGCAACUAAUUAAAGGCAGACAGGCUGGUAGCGUCUGCACACUCAAGCCCCCCCAAAUAAAGAGCCUGAGAACACCUGUUCCCAGCGCUGAAGCAUUCCGAUGGUUCUUUUAAGCAGUAGUGUAUCUUAUUUUCGAGGCAGUCCGAAGUGAAUGGAAAGCUAAAGUCUUGUUUUAAGAAACUGCUUAGUCCACCAUUGAAGAAUAUACUCAGAUACUAUUUUCAUUUAUGUAUAGGGGUUUCCUCAAAAGCAAAAGACAAAAACCUGUGAGCCUGGGGAAUUGGCCAGCUUCUUCACAUUCAGUACACCGAUUCUUUCUUUGAUGUAACUUAGCUAUACUAGUGAAGUUGUUGUCUAUUUUUAAAGUGGCUGUAAAAAAAAAAAAGUUUGGGUAAACCCCUGCUAUAAAGUCAUGUAUCUUUGAAAAGUAACAUAUCUAUACUUCAUUUUCAAAUAUAUGUGUUUCAGUACUGUAAACUGUACAGAUAGCCGCUUGUAUUUUGUGUGUUUAGACACAAGGAGACAAUCAUGUCUGAGCAUCAAUGGAGAUAAACGGUUUGUACACAACAGUGUGGUUCUGCAAAUUGAAUCCGGAGCAAUAAAUUCUAGCUUUAACUAUUAUUUUGCUAGUUGUUUAGCAGCAGCAGCAGCAACAGCAGCACUGUUUUACCAUGCAUCCUUCCAUAGAGACUUGAUGCCAAGUUUUCCAAGAUAAAAGAUUGUGAUGCAUCUAGCAAUUACCUUCUGUUGUGGUGUUGUGAGAGGGGAAGACGUAACACUUAAAAUUAAUCUUUCAAGCACUAUAUUAGAAUAGUGGUUUGUGCACUUGCAUUGCUUCCAAAGGAGCUUUACAGAGGGGUAUCUCUCAAAAAAUGCUGUCUGGUGUCUGGCUCAUUUUUCACUGUGCCCAGCAUAGGCAAAUGUGCAAAACUAGUAAUUUAAAUAAAGAUUGUUCUAGGAUACAAACCAGAGUAUGGGACCUUAGGAAAAAUGAUGACUCAGUUUAAUUACCCUUCACCUACAAGAUCUUAUGUAACACUUUCAGUCAAUGGAGUAAAUAUUUUAUAAAGUGGAAUGCCAUAUUUUUGGUUCUGGUGGAGCUCUUCACAGUUAAGUGAGUUUGGACAGUUGGACUGGUUUAGGUCUCACUUGCACUUGUGCUCAUUGAGAGCCUGGAUAUUUUUGCGGUAUAAAAAAGAUUUUUUUUUUUUUUUUGUGCUUUAAAAAAAAGACCACUUCUCCCCACAUAUUUCUUGGUCCACUGAUCUCGGCUUUGCUGAAUGACUGGUCCCUUAAGCCCUUAAAAAAUGCUUUGCCGUUCUUCUUCCUGUUCUAGCUGUAUGGAAGAAAUGUCUACUCCAUGGAAAGGCAGCACACAGAGGGAUAUAGCUGACCUGCCAUAAAAAAUAAGGAGAAUUCUUUACUUAGGGAUACUUACUAUCAGUCGAUCAUCACUUUUUAUCACUUGGCUUUGUCAUACCACUCUGGAGUGAGAAGGCCAUGCCACCAAAGUAAGUGAAUGCUGUUGUGCCAUGUAUCUGGAUAGAUUUAUAAUUUUAUACAAGAUAGGCCUACCAGUAGUUUCACAAACAAGGUGCUGGGCAUGGUAAUAACCAAUUAAUGUUGCACAGCACAUGUAAAUCUCCUACUGUUUCAGCACUUUCUUCGGGGUUUUGCUAAGUACUUCAGCCUUUGGCCCCUGGUCACACUUACUUGAUGAAGCAUGAGGGAUGGGUUAGGAAUGCUCCAAUGGGACUGUGCAGGUGGGGAAGAUGCCAGCUUUGGCAAGUGAGGGCUGGCAGGUGUCAGGAAUAGCCCAGAAAGUGAAGACCAGGGGAUGGAGGCAGAGAAACCUCCUGAAGUCACAUGUGUGCAUCAGCAGGACCGGGCAGAGCGUGGGUGACCCAGGGUAACUGGAGGGCACAGUUGGGCUGGGCUUACACCUGCAUCCUCAGCUCAGGGUCAGUGCAUGUGUCUGUGCCCUUGCGUCGCACGAUGCCACAUACAGGGCUUCGGAGGAGGAAUGUCACGCUUAAAAUGAUUCUAUCAUGGUGUCCCUCUUACAGUUUGUGAGAUCCUCAGUUGUAUACUCAUCCAAUGCCCAUUCAGUGAGCUCUGUGUCUGUUUGUAGGGCAGCUGUGUAUGGAUUUUUUUGUGUUGGAGACUUUUUGGUUAGGGGCCUCUGUUACUGAUCAUUAGACCAAUAUGAGCUCUGCAAGGUCUUCUCUACCAAAGUGCUGAUUGACUUACAAACUGAAGCCUUAUUUGCACAUCUGGCUGGUAAGGUUGCCUUGCUCUUUGGAAAACUCUCAUUGCUCUUACAGAAGCAGAGGCAAAGUUAAGUUCAGGAUACAUUAGGUGUACAAAGAUACUCAUAGCAAUGUACUUACUGUCUAAUACCCUAAUGUUGCAUGUCUUGUGGUUCCUUUUUUUUUGUUUUGUUGUUUUGUUUUAAAGAACUGCUGUAUCUGUAAAUUGUAAUUCUGGUGUUUUACAUGUCAAUCCAAAAUUGUUAAACACACAAACAAGCAUACCUGUUAAUUAUUGAAAAUGAACCAGAGGUGAUUUUUCUUUGUUUACCCUUACGGUUUUCAUUUCAGAGGUUGUUGCUUUGCACCAUCAGGUUUUUAGAUUCUGCUGAAACAGUAUUUAAUAUGAUGUAGUGUGCAUAGAGCAUUUUAAUUAGUGAUGUUUGAAGAAGGAAAUCCAUUUUCUGGCCUGUCUCUCCCCAUUUAUAUACAUAUUUGUCAGUCAGAUUAUUGUCAAGUUCUAAUUACCAAAUUUGUGCUUUUCACAAGGUCCAAUACUGUUUUUCAGUAUGAAAAUUUGUAUUCUUCUCCAUUCUUCAUUCUCACAGUGAAAAGUAAAAAAAAAAAAAAAAGGUGUGGGCAAAAAAAAAAAUAGUAGAACUCUGUCUUCUAGGUGUGAGUGAGUGCUAAGCCUAGUGGAAGCAUUUUUGGCAUACCCCAGAUAAACUUAUGAAAAAUGGUAAGCUUGAAAGGGAGGCACACGUACCCAUUCUGUCAAUUAAUAACAGACCCUCCCUAUGAGGGAAAAUACUCCCUUUUGUACAGACCCCCUGGUAUGUAAGUCCUACAAUUAAUGUUGAAGAAUGUAAAGUCUUUAAACGGGCUAUAUCUGUAAUCAAAUAAUGAAGAAAGAAAGUAGUUAAAUGAACAUACCAUUCAGGGUCGAAUGCAUUCAGCAAAAAGCAGUAGUGGGUCUUUGAUCAUGGUUAGAUGCAUAGUGAUAUCAAACAGUGGGUUCUCAUGUAACAGCUAAAUGUUUCAGAUUUUGUUUUUAUUAAAUUUGGCAGUUUCACGCUGAGCUCUACUGUAUUCUUAGUGAACAAAAGACAGCUCCUAUGUUAGAGUACUCCAUUUUCACAAUUGCAGGGAACUAGGAGGGUAUUUUCAGAAACAUGGGCCACAGAAAUGUACUCCUUUCACAGUGUUCUCCUAUUUCUGAACUGUGCAGUUAUCUAUUAAAUUUUCUAAUAGAUAUUUGUGUAAGGUGUAUGUAUGCUUGUGCAAUUAUGGAAAAAAACAGUUUUGGAAAACAGUGUAUUUAUGAAAAAAUAAUCACUUAUGGGGCAUGUACAAAACUGUAUAAAACAUUCAAUUUGCCCAGUAAAGUUGUUUUUUGUGAUA
Zonotrichia albicollis (white-throated sparrow) is the source of this 3767-nucleotide non-coding RNA. NCBI's taxonomy places the organism in Eukaryota, Metazoa, Chordata, Aves, Passeriformes, Passerellidae. The record is from RefSeq and is a predicted model, not a curated record.